AAGAAGAAGAGAAGUAGAGGGAGAAGACAAAAAAGGAAGAAGAAGAGGGAAAAGAAGAGAGGAAGAAGAGGGAGAAGAGAAGAAAAGAAGAAGAAGAAGAGAGGGAAGAGGGAGAGGAAAGAGAGAUAGUUGCUGCAGCUAGGACUGCAGCACCUCUGUUUCGUGUAGGAGGAAACAGAGGAGUUCAUGUGGGGGGCGUCGGGGAGGAGAAGGGAAGAAUAAGAAGAAGAAGAAAAGAGGAGGUGGCUGCGGUAAGGGCAGCAGCGAGGAGCUGUGGGGCGUUGGGGAGGAGAAAGGAAGAAGAGGAGAAGAAGAAAAGAAGAAGAAGAGGGAAAAGAAGAGAGGAGAAAGAAAGGGAGAAGAGAAGAAUAGAAGAAGAAGAAAAAGAGAGAGAAGUGGGAGAGGAGCGAGAGAUAGCAGCAGCUAGGGCUGCAGCACCUCUGUUUCCUGCAGGCGGAAACAGAGGAGACGAGGUGUGGGGCGUUGGGGAGGAGAAGAAGAAGAGGAAAAAGAAGAAGAGAAAAAGGAAAAAAAGAAGGAUGGCUGCGGCAUGGGCUGCAGUGAGAAGGUGUGGGGUGUCGGGUAGGAGAAGGGAAGAAGAGGAUAAGAAGAAGGAGAAGAAGGAGAAGAAGAAGAAGAGGAAGAGAAGAAGUAGAAGCGGGUGAAGAGGCGGCACCUCUAUUUCCUGCAGGAGGAAACAGAGGAGAGGAGAUGAUGUUCGUCGGGGAGAAGAAGGGGAGGAAGGAGAAGAAGAGAAGAAGAAGAAAGGAAGGAGAAGGAAGAGGAGAAGGGAAAGAAGUAGCUGCGGCUGCGGCUGCGGCUGUGGCAGCUGCAGUUGGAAGAGAAGAAGGAGAGGAAGAUGAGCAGGGGUGGAAGAAGAGGUUGUGGCCGUGGCUGAGGCUGCGACUGCAGUAGUGCAGCUGGGAAAGAAGAGAAGGAAAGGAAGAAGAAGAGAAAGGAAAAGGGAAGAAGAGAGGAAGAGGAGAAGGGGAGGCAGCUACGGCAGUGGCAGCUGCAGUUGGAAGAGAAGGAGAGGAAACAGACCAGGGGAGGAAGAAGAGGCUGCGGCUGUGAUGGCCACGGCCGUGGUUGCGACUGCGGCUGCAGCUGCAACAUUGGCUGCGGCAGCGGUGGUGGCUGCAGCAGCUGCUUUUGGGAAAUAAAAAGAAAGGAAAAGGAAAAAAAAAAAAGGGGCUGUGGCCGUGAUUGCGACUGCGGUGGAGGCGGCUGCGUUGGCGGCAGUUGUGUUUGGGAAAGAAAAAAAGAAGAAACGAGAGAAGGGAGGAAGGAAGUAGUGUAGUGGAAGGGACUGUGGUUGUGACAGCAGUUGCGGUUAUGGCUACGACUGUGGUAGUGGCAGCGGCGAUGGCUGCAACAGCCGUGUUUGAAAAAGAAAACGAAGAAAUGAGAGUAAGAGAGAGAGCAGGUGACUAUGCCUCUAUGUUCUGCAGUUGUGGAGGAAAAAGAGCAGACAUAUGUAGAAAAUGAAAUAGGGAGAGGACACGGAGGAAAAGUAGAAGGAUUUGAGCUGACACCUUCUUUGGAUCUUCGGAUCAAAAUCUUUGAAAGGCAAGUGUUCUGAUCCUUCCUAUUGUAAGCUUUCUAAUCUUUUCUAUUGCAAGUGUCCUGAUCUUUCCUUAUUGCAAUUUUAUCUCUAUAUUUGCUUUGAAUAUGAGGAACUUUAAAUUGUUCUGGCCUUGCAUUUGAUAUAUCUCCUGUUUAGACGUAACGAUUCGAAUCUGUGCAACUUUUGAGAUUCUGACCUUUUGAUACCAAGCUGCCUAUAAGUCUUUGUUGGAAACUCCGAUUUGUUCAAAACUGAUUUCAUUGGAAACUAGACUCGUAGAUCUUUCUUUUGAUAUAUGGAUUGAAAGAUUUGGAGUCCAAACACUUGGCCAGUUAUCUGUUGAAUCUGACCUUAUGAAUUCUGCCAAACAGAGAUUUUGUUCUACGACCCUUGUUUACCAAAUUAUUUAUAACUCUCUCUGUUAGACAGUUCAAUUCAUAUGAAGCUUAUUUUAUUUGGAAGUAGAUUGAAAUAUCUUUCCAAUGAUAUAUUUUUGAGUAAAUUGGAGCACGAUUGAUAGUUUGAAUCAUUUGUUCAAUGUGCCUCUUGAAUUCUACCAGAAAUCGAGCUUUGGUCGAUUUCGCAUAUUCUGGUUUCAUUCCUUUGGAAAUUGAUUUCAUCUAACCUUCUUAUUUGAAUUGAGCUAUAUUUGAUUGUUUGGAAACCUUGUACGCUCUUGCUUUCAUUUCCUUUCAAAUCUGAAUACAUUUGUGAAGGAUUAUGUUUGCAUCGUAUUGACUCAUAAAGGCACAUGUACAUUUCGUUGUUCCGCAUGUGCUUCCGAUAUGUCCCAAUUUAUUGUUCACAAUACCUUUUGUACUCUGGUGUUUGUGGGAUUAUUUGAACCUUUGCCAAAAAUGGUAAAGGGUAUGUGCUUAGAGCUCGCGAUACUCUAGAUUAUGUUUGGUGGUCAUUCAGAAAUAGAUGGAUUAUAUUAUGUUUGGAAUCCCACUUCAACAUCUAUCUGUUUGAUAUGAAAUUUAGAGCCGACCUAGCACUUGGGCAAGGUGAGAGGGCUCGAGUAGGAAAGGGCUACCCGUGGAUGCAGUCGAAAACUCAUCACGGCGUGGAGCCACCACUGAGUUAAACCUCACAUGCACUAUGCUAGGGUACGACGUCUGAGCUUCUGUUUCGUAUUUUGUAUUGAUAUGCUCCAAAAUGUUUCCUAUGCCAUUGAUAUACUUCAAAAUGCUUCACACACCAUUGAUAUGUUCCGAAAUGUUCCAUUUGUCAUUGAUAUGCUCCGGAACAUUUCAUACGCUAUUGGUAUGCUCCAAUUACUCUGUGCUCCAUUUGUAAUGAACUGAUGUGUUCUGAAAUGUCCUAUUUGCCAUUGAUAUGCUCCGGUACAUCUCGUACGCUAUUGAUAUGCUCCAAUUACUCUAUGCUUCAUUUGUUAUGAACCAAAUAUGUUUUGAAUGACAUGACACAUAUGAUUUUGUAUAUAAUGAGAUGGUAUCCUUGAAAAUUCUUGUAUUCUGCCUUGUAUUAUGAUAUCUUACUUGUUUGAAACCGUUUCUUUUGUUCUGAAUAUACUUUGUCACUUGCUGAGUUGUUUUUAGCUCAUUCCGUUGUUAUAUAAAUCUUUCAGGUCAAGUUGUCACUCUUUGAGAUGUUUUGAAUUGGGCUGAGGUAAUGGAGAGCUAUUCAGAAUUAUGAGCAAGUCUUAUUGGUUAUUAUGUUAUUAUUGUAUAAGCAUAUUUUGUAUGUAAUGAAAUGUUGUCGAUGAAUCGAAAUGGAUAUACCGUGUAAAAGUGUUAGAAGAUCUCUCUUAUUUGGAAUUUCAGAAUGUUAAGUCUAAUUUAUGAUGAUAUGAACUUGUGGUGAAUAGUUGGAGUUCUGAUUGUAUAAUUUAUUUAGCUUGCGGAUUUAUAAAUGUUAUUCAUGUUUUUCAAGUUGGUUUGGGUUGCCAUAAAUGUGAAUUAUCGAGUGAUGUGAUAUAUGAUUAUAAACUGUAGAGGUUUUAUAGAUGUGAAUUUGAUAGAAUGUUUUUCAGUGUCCUCAAAUGUGUGUUUGGAUCCUGGAUGGAUUUAUGAUGAAAACUUUUAAUAUCAUUGAUAUUUUGAGGGUCGUGACAGAGGUGGUAUCAGAGCAUGGUUUGAGGAUUACUGAAAUAUUUGGUAUGUUGACGUGUAAAAUAUAUGGAGGUUUAAUAAACUAUAGUGAUUGGUGGAAAUUUUCUUUGAUGCAUUUUAGGAAUCUAUGAUGAUGAGGACAUAUGGUCCCCCAAUUUCAUUUGUUUCUGAUUAAUUAAGGGGGGUGAAAGGGUUGAUCGAGGAUACUAAAUCAGAGUAGCGCAAUGAAAGCAUGGUGAACCUAAUUUUAUUGGUGGUAGAAAAACGGAUGAUGCAAAUAGAGAAGAUAUUUGAUGUACAAAAUUGUUCGGAUGAUCAAAAGAUUUCUUUUGCCACCUUAUAUUGGAAGUAGAGGCUGAUCAUUAAUGGGAACAAUGAAAAGAAUUUUUGGAGAUCAGUGGUAAGAAUGAUAAGGACAAGUUUACUAAUAAAAAUAUGAUUGGAAAUGAAUCAGAAAGUAAUACACAAAAGAGUUAAGAUAUUUGGAUUUAAAAGUGGAAGUCACCACAAAAGACUUAAUCCUGUAUAAGAUACGAGUUAAAUUAUGAAAUAAGUUUGUGUUUGUGGGUGACUAGAGUCUAUUUUGUUUGUGAAAAGUUGGAUCAUAAAAUAAAAGACUACCCAUUGAACUAGAAGAAAGAGUCACUGCCUCCUAAAUCAUCAGCCCAUGUCAGACUGUAUGCUAUCACUGAAUAUGAUUCUAAAACUUCUGAAUUAGUGGUCGAAGGUAUUAUUCAUGUUUAUAAAAGAAUGUAAAUAUUUGUUUGACUAUGGGUCCCAUCUACGAUUUGAUUCGUAAUAUUUUGCUUAUCAUUUGGGUAUUCAACCUAGACCACUGCAUUAUGUGCUAUAUGUAAAUACGAUCAUUGGAGAUUCUUUGAUAACGAACUUGAAUCUGGUCCUCUUGUUUGAUUUUUAUUGGAGAACUUGAACUUUUUGCUGAUUUAGUUCUCCUAGAGAUUUAAAAUUUUGAUAUUAUACUUGGUAUGAAUUGGCUAUCUUCUUAUCAUACCAGUAUGGAUUGUUAUAUAAUAAAUGAUCACUAUUUACAUAUUAGAUCAGCCCAUCUUUUAUUUUGAGAGUAUUGGACAUGAUUUAUCUCCUUGCCUAAUGUAUCCCAAGAUGACUUGCCCGGAUUACCUCCAAAUGUGACUCUGCUUUUGAUUUGGUCAUUGGGAUAAUCUCAAUAUCUAAGCCUCUCUAUAUAAUGACAUCAUUUGAGUAAGUGAAAUUAGAAAAGUAAUAACAAGGACUAUUAAAUAAGAAUUUUAUUUGGCUUAAUAUUUCAUCUUGGGGUGAUUCGGUGUUAGUUAAAAAGAUGGAUGGAACAUUGAGACUUUACAUUAAUUUUAGACAAAUGAAUCAGGUGACCAUCAAAAACGAGUAUUCUCUAAAGUAACGACUUGUUUGAUUAACUGGAGGGUGCAUAAGUAUUUUCAAAGAUUGAUCGAAGAUCGGGUUACCAUCUAUUAAGGAUCAAAGAGAAGAAUAUUUCGGUCACUCUUGGAUAAUUAUGUAAUUGUAUUGUAUUGAUGAAACUAUUUGAGAGCAGGAGGAGGAAAUAAAGAAAUUAUAAUUCUCAUCUUUUCAUCGAUUGAGCUAUGAUCAAUUUAGAGAACUAAAUUUUCUUUUAAGGGGGGGGGGAGAGUGUAAUAUCCCUCACUUUUGAAAAUUUAUUAAUAAAGAUUUAUAUGUAAAUUGAAAGACCUAUAUGUAAAUAUAGAAAUUUCAAGUACUAAACUGUUAAGUUGCAAAAAAAAAAAAAAUCAAAAAUUUUGGUUUUAUCCUACCGCCUCCCACGCUCUCUAUGAGAGAGGAGCUGUGGGGCGUGGGGAGGAGAAGAAGAGAAGUAGAGGGAGAAGAGAAGAAAGGAAGAAGAAGAGGGAAAAGAAGAGAGGAAGAAGAGGGAGAAGAGAAGAGAAGAAGAAGAGAGGGAAGAGGGAGAGGAAAGAGAGAUAGUUGCAGCAGCUAGGGCUGCAGCACCUCUGUUUCGUGUAGGAGGAAACAGAGGAGUUCAUGUGUGGGGCGUUGGGGAGGUAAAGGGAAGAAGAAGAAGAAGAAGAAGAAGAAGAAGAAGAAGAAGAAGAAGAGGUGGCUGUGGCAAGGGCUGCAGCGAGGAGCUGUGGGGCAUUGGGGAGGAGAAAGGAAGAAGAGGAGAAGAAGAAAAGAAGAAGAAGAGGGAAAGGAAGAAGAGGGAGAAGAGAAGAAUAGAAGAAGAAGAAAAAGAGAGAGAAGUGGGAGAGGAGCGAGAGGUAGCAGUAGCUAGGGCUGCAGCACCUCUGUUUCCUGCAGGCGGAAACAGAGGAGACGAGGUGUGGGGCGUUGGGGAGGAGAAGAAGAAGAAGAGGAAAAAGAAGAAGAGAAAAAGGAAAAAAAGAUGGAUGGUUGCGGCAUGGGCUGCAGUGAGAAGGUGUGGGGUGUCGGGUAGGAGAAGAGAAGAAGAGGAUAAGAAGAAGGAGAAGAAGUAGAAGCGGGUGAAGAGGCAGCACCUCUGUUUCCUGCAGGAGGAAACAGACGAGAGGAGGUGCUGUUCGUCGGGGAGAAGAAUGGGAGGAAGGAGAAGAAGAGAAGAAGAAGAAAGGAAGGAGUAGGAAGAGGAGAAGGGAAAGAAGCAGCUGCGGCUGCGGCUGUGGCAGCUGCAGCUGUGGCAGGGAAAGAGGAAGAGGAAGGAAGAAGGGAAGGAGAGGAAGAAGAGAAGGGGAAGAAGGGGCUGCGGCUGCGGCGAUGGCAGCUGCAGUUGGUAGAGAAGAAGGAGAGGAAGAUGAGCAGGGGAGGAAGAAGAGGCUGUGGCCAUGGCUGAGGCUGCGACUGCAGUAGUGCAGCUAGGAAAGAAGAGAAGGAAAGGAAGAAGAAGAGAAAGGAAAAGGGAAGAAGAGAGGAAGAGGAGAAGGGGAGGCAGCUACGGCAAUGGCAGCUGCGGCUGGAAGAGAAGGAGAGGAAACAGAGCAGGGGAGGAAGAAGAGGCUGCGGCUGUGGUGGCCGCGGCCGUGGCUGUGGUGGUCGCGGCCAUGGCUGCGACUGCGGUUGCGACUGCAACGUUGGCUGCGGUAGCUACGGCAGCGGUGGUGGCUGCAGCAGCUGCUUUUGGGAAAUAGAAAGAAAGGAAAAGGGAAAAAAAAAAGGGGCUAUGGCCGUGAUUGCGGCUGCGAUGGUGGCGGCUGCAUCUGCGGCAGUUGUGUUUGGGAAAGAAAAAAAGAAAAAAUGAGAGAAGGGAGGAAGGAAGUAGUGUAGUGGAAGGGACUGCGGUCGUGGCUACGACUGUGGUAGUGGCAGCGGCGAUGGCUGCAACAGCCGUGUUUGAAAAAAAAAACGAAGAAAUUAGAGGAAGAGAGAGAGCAGGUGACUAUGCCUCUAUGUUUUGCAUGAGCUGUAGUUAUGGAGGAAAAAGAGAAGACAUAUGUAGAAAAUGAAACAAGGAGAGGACACGGAGGAAAAGUAGAAGGAUUUGAGCUGACACCUUCUUUGGAUCUUCGGAUCAAAAUCUUUGAAAGGCAAGUGUUCCAAUCCUUCCUAUUGUAAGCUUUCUAAUCUUUUCUAUUGCAAGUGUCCUGAUCUUUCCUUACUAGAAUUUUAUCUCUACAUUUGCUUUGAAUACGAGGAACUUUAAAUUGUUCUAGCCUUGCAUUUGAUAUAUCUCCUAUUUAGACAUAACGAUUUGAAUCUGUGCAACUUCUGAGAUUCUGACCUUUUGAUACCGAGCUGCCUAUAAGUCUUUGUUGGAAACUCCGAUUUGUUCAAAGCUGAUUUCAUUGGAAAUUAGACUCGUAGAUCUUUCUUUUGAUAUAUAGAUUGAAAGAUUUGGAGUCCAAACACCUGCCUAGUUAUCUGUUGAAUCUGACCUUAUGAAUUAUGCCAAACAGAGAUUUUGUUCUACGUCCCUUGUUUACCAAAUUAUUUAUAACUCCCUCUGUUGGAUAGUUCAAUUUAUAUGAAGCUUAUUUUAUCUGGAAGUAGAUUGAAAUAUCUUUCCAAUGAUAUAUUUCUGAGUAAAUUGGAGUACGAUUGAUAGUUUGAAUCAUUUGUUCAAUGUGCCUCUUGAAUUCUGCCAGAAAUCAAGCUUUGGUCGAUUUCGCAUAUUCUGGUUUCAUUCCUUUAGAAAUUGAUUUCAUCUAACCUUCUUAUUUGAAUCGAGCUAUAUGUGAUUGCUUGGAAUCCUUGUACGCUCUUGCUUUCAUUUCCUUUCAAAUCUGAAUACAUUUGUGAAGGAUUAUGUUUGCAUCGUAUUGACUCAUAAAGACACAUGUACAUUUCGUUGUUCCGCAUGUGCUUCUGAUAUGUCCCAAUUUAUUGUUCACAAUACCUUUUGUACUAUGGUGUUUGUGGGAUUAUUUGGACCUUUACCAGAAAUGGUAAAGGGUAUGUGCUUAGAGUCCGCGAUGCUCUAGAUUAUGUUUGGUGGUCAUUCAUAAAUGGAUGAAUCAUAUUAUGUUUGGAAUCCCACUUCAACAUCUAUCUAUUUGAUAUGAAAUUCAGAGCCGAACUAGCAUUUGGGCAGGGUGAGAGGGCUCGAGUAGGAAAGGGCAACCCGUGGAUGGAGUCGAGAACUCAUCACGGCGUGGAGCCACCAUUGAGUUAAACCUCACAUGCACUAUGCUAAGGUCAAGUUGUCACUCUUUGAGAUGUUUUGAAUUGGGCUGAGGUAGUGGAGAGCUAUUCAGAAUUAUGGGCAAGUCUUGUUGGUUAUUAUGUUAUUAUUGUAUAAGCAUAUUUUGUAUGAAAUGAAAUGUUGUCGAUGAAUCGAAAUGGAUAUACUGUGUAAAAGUGUUAGAAGAUCUCUCUUACUUGGAAUUUCAGAAUGUUAAGUCUAAUUUAUGUUGAUAUGAACUUAUGGUGAAUAGUUGGAGUUCUGAUUGUAUAAUUUAUUUAGCUUGUGGAUUUAUAAAUGUUGUUCAUGUUUUUUAAGUUGGUUUGGGUUGUCAUAAA
Long non-coding RNA from Musa acuminata AAA Group (dessert banana), 8565 nucleotides. RefSeq lists it as uncharacterized. The record is from RefSeq and is a predicted model, not a curated record. The transcript has 2 exons. Lineage: Eukaryota; Viridiplantae; Streptophyta; Magnoliopsida; Zingiberales; Musaceae.